GAUGAACGCUAGCUACAGGCUUAACACAUGCAAGUCGCGGGGCAGCAUGGGGGUUGCUUGCACUCCCCGAUGGCGACCGGCGCACGGGUGAGUAACGCGUAUCCAACCUGCCCUUCACCACGGGAUAACCCGGCGAAAGUCGGACUAAUACCGUAUGUUUUCCAUUGACGGCAUCCGAUUUGGACGAAAGGCUUGGCGGUGAGGGAUGGGGAUGCGUCCGAUUAGCCAGACGGCGGGGUAACGGCCCACCGUGGCUACGAUCGGUAGGGGUUCUGAGAGGAAGGUCCCCCACACUGGAACUGAGACACGGUCCAGACUCCUACGGGAGGCAGCAGUGAGGAAUAUUGGUCAAUGGGCGUAAGCCUGAACCAGCCAAGUAGCGUGCAGGAUGACGGCCCUAUGGGUUGUAAACUGCUUUUAUGCGGGGAUAAAGUGGCCCACGUGUGGGCUUUUGCAGGUACCGCAUGAAUAAGGACCGGCUAAUUCCGUG
This 490-nucleotide ribosomal RNA is filed under the name uncultured bacterium. RNAcentral describes it as "partial 16S ribosomal RNA". It matches the Rfam family "Bacterial small subunit ribosomal RNA", at positions 28 to 507 of the family's 1533-position model. The record is from RNAcentral.